CUCCGGAUCCCUUAGUGGCGAACGGGUGAGUAACGCGUGGGAAUCUACCUAAGAGUGGGGAAUAACUAUUGGAAACGAUAGCUAAUACCGCAUAAUCCCCUCGGGGCAAAGGCUUCGGCCGCUUUUAGAUGAGCCCGCGUUAGAUUAGGCUGUUGGUGAGGUAACGGCUCACCAAACCUACAAUCUAUAGCUGGUCUGAGAGGAUGAUCAGCCACACUGGGACUGAGACACGGCCCAGACUCCUACGGGAGGCAGCAGUGGGGAAUAUUGGACAAUGGGGGAAACCCUGAUCCAGCAAUGCCGCGUGAGUGAUGAAGGCCCUAGGGUUGUAAAACUCUUUCAGAAGUGAAGAUGAUGACGGUAACUUCAGAAGAAGCUCCGGCUAACUCCGUGCCAGCAGCCGCGGUAAUACGGAGGGAGCUAGCGUUGUUCGGAAUUACUGGGCGUAAAGGGCGUGUAGGCUGUUAGGUAAGUCAGAGGUGAAAUCCCUAAGCUCAACUUAGGAACUGCCUUUGAUACUAUCUUACUAGAGAUCGAGAGAAGUUGGCGGAAUUCCAAGUGUAGAGGUGAAAUUCGUAGAUAUUUGGAAGAACACCAGUGGCGAAAGCGGCCAACUGGCUCGUAUCUGACGCUGAGACGCGAAAGCGUGG
This 650-nucleotide ribosomal RNA is filed under the name uncultured marine bacterium. RNAcentral describes it as "bacterial SSU rRNA". It matches the Rfam family "Bacterial small subunit ribosomal RNA", at positions 81 to 764 of the family's 1533-position model. The record is from RNAcentral.